Molecule: ribosomal RNA, 468 nt
Filed under: uncultured bacterium
Lineage: Bacteria
Description: partial 16S ribosomal RNA
Rfam family: Bacterial small subunit ribosomal RNA
Source: RNAcentral
GACGAACGCUGGCGGCGUGCUUAACACAUGCAAGUCGAACGGAAAGGCCCUGCUUUUGUGGGGUGCUCGAGUGGCGAACGGGUGAGUAACACGUGAGUAACCUACCCUUGACUUUGGGAUAACUUCAGGAAACUGGGGCUAAUACCGGAUAGGAGCUCCUGCUGCAUGGUGGGGGUUGGAAAGUUUCGGCGGUUGGGGAUGGACUCGCGGCUUAUCAGCUUGUUGGUGGGGUAGUGGCUUACCAAGGCUUUGACGGGUAGCCGGCCUGAGAGGGUGACCGGCCACAUUGGGACUGAGAUACGGCCCAGACUCCUACGGGAGGCAGCAGUGGGGAAUAUUGCACAAUGGGCGGAAGCCCGAUGCAGCAACGCCGCGUGCGGGAUGACGGCCUUCGGGUUGUAAACCGCUUUCGCCUGUGACGAAGCGUGAGUGACGGUAAUGGGUAAAGAAGCACCGGCUAACUACGUG